This 468-nucleotide ribosomal RNA is filed under the name uncultured bacterium. Its description in RNAcentral is "partial 16S ribosomal RNA". It matches the Rfam family "Bacterial small subunit ribosomal RNA", at positions 28 to 507 of the family's 1533-position model. The record is from RNAcentral.
GACGAACGCUGGCGGCGUGCUUAACACAUGCAAGUCGAACGGAAAGGCCCUGCUUUUGUGGGGUGCUCGAGUGGCGAACGGGUGAGUAACACGUGAGUAACCUGCCCUUGACUUUGGGAUAACUUCAGGAAACUGGGGCUAAUACCGGAUAGGAGCUCCUGCUGCAUGGUGGGGGUUGGAAAGUUUCGGCGGUUGGGGAUGGACUCGCGGCUUAUCAGCUUGUUGGUGGGGUAGUGGCUUACCAAGGCUUUGACGGAUAGCCGGCCUGAGAGGGUGACCGGCCACAUUGGGACUGAGAUACGGCCCAGACUCCUACGGGAGGCAGCAGUGGGAAAUAUUGCACAAUGGGCGGAAGCCUGAUGCAGCAACGCCGCGUGCGGGAUGACGGCCUUCGGGUUGUAAACCGCUUUCGCCUGUGACGAAGCGUGAGUGACGGUAAUGGGUAAAGAAGCACCGGCUAACUACGUG